CCCCCUCUCUUCUCUAAACUAAGCAUGCUAACGGUAACCCUUGUGAUUCAACGUAGGGUCACUCAGGCAAUACGUCGAACACUUACAAUUCCAUUCUCACCGCUCAAUCAAAUCCUUUUUAAUUUCAACUUUCUGUGUACCCAAGCACCUUUAAAUUUUCCCGAGAAAAUUUUGGAGUCAAAAGAAGGAAAACCCAGUUGCUUGUCUUAUAGGAUUGAGAAGUUGCCGAAGGGUGAGUCUGUUGGGUUAGCAUUUCAAAGCUGGAUGGGUGAUGGGUUUCCCAUUCACAGAGGCGACAUUUUCCACGCCAUUAACCGUCUCAGGAAGCUCAAGUUGAACAAACGCGCACUUGAGGUAAUGGAAUGGGUGAUCAGGGAAAAGCCUUACAGGCCCAAGGAACUAGACUACUCUUAUCUUUUGGAAUUUACAACCAAAUUUCAUGGGAUUUUGCAGGGUGAAAAACUCUUCUCUUGUGUCCCUCCUGAGUUCCAGAAUGAUUUGCUCUACAAUAAUCUUGUGAUUGCAUGCUUGGAUAAGGGGUCAAUAAGGCUUUCACUUGCAUACAUGAAGAAGAUGAGGGAUUUGGGUCAUCCCAUCUCACACUUGAUCUUCAACCGCCUCAUAAUCCUCCAUUCCUCCCCAAGCCGUAAGAAAAUCAUCCCCAAAAUCCUCACUCAAAUGAAGGCUGAUAAGGUGACUCCACAUGUCUCCACCUAUAACAUUCUUAUGAAAAUGGAGGCUAAUGAACACAAUAUUGAAGGGUUCAUGAAGGUAUAUGGUGACAUGAAACGUGCAAAAGUUGAGCCUAAUGAAGUAUCUUAUUGCAUAAUAGCUACUGCACAUGCAGUGGCAAGGUUGUACCCUGUGGCUGAAGCCUAUGUUGAAGCAGUGGAAAAGUCUGUUACAGGGGAUAACUGGUCAACUCUAGAUGUUCUAAUCAUAUUGUAUGGGUAUUUAGGGAAGGGAAAGGAGCUAGAGAGAACAUUGGGCAUUGUGCAAGAACUCCCCCAUGUUAGGUCUAAAAGUUACAUACUUGCAAUUGAAGCAUUUGGUAGAAUUGGACAGCUGAGUCGGGCUGAAGAGCUUUGGUUAUAUAUGAAGUCGGUAAAAGGGUUAAGAUCAAGUGACCAGUUCAACUCUAUGAUAUCUGUAUACUGCAAACACGGGUUGAUUGAUAGAGCAUCUAGGCUUUUCAAGGAAAUGGAGAUGAUUGAGUGCAAGCCAAAUGCCAUAACUUAUCGACAUCUUGCUUUGGGUUGCUUGAAAGCAGACUUGGUGGAAGAAGCCUUGAGAACUCUAGAAUUGGGGAUGGAUCUAACAGCGAGCAAAAGAGUCAGGCAUUCUACACCAUGGUUGGAGACCACUCUUUCAAUAGUUGAGAUUUUUGCAGAAAAGGGUGAUUUGGUGAAUGUGGAGAAGUUGUUUGAAGAGCUUACAAAAGCUAGGUAUACCAAGUAUACAUUUGUGUACAAUACUUUGCUCAAGGCAUAUGUGAAGGCCAAGAAAUAUGAUCCAAAUUUUUUGAGAAGGAUGAUUCUAGGAGGUGCUAGGCCAGAUGCUGAGACUUAUAGCCUGAUGAAACUUGCUGAGCAGUUUCAGAGCUGAUAUUAAUCUGUUGUAUGCUUAGUUUAUUUAUUCACGUGUCUUGAUUCUUCUCAGCACAAAGAGCAAAUCAAAUUUCUAAGUGGAAGAUAGGAAGAAGAGAGGUAGGAAAUUAGGGAGGAUCAUCUGGUACAUUCUGAUUACAGUUAUGAUUAAUGUGAAGAUUCUGAGAGAAUAAUAUGCUCAAUAUUACUUCCUGCUUCAGCUUCACUCCUUGGUUGAAUUAGGUGAAUUAUGAGAAAAUGAGUCUUGUUCGCAACCCCCCUACCCAAUUUGACACAGCCUCUCUGUCAGCCCUAUUUGACACAGACUCUCACCCAAUGUUCUCCAUUGCAGGCAACCUCAUCUCCCCCCUCCUAAUAUUCACCCCCUCUCUCCCUUCCCCCACCACCUCACUGUCUGGUUUUUCCUCCUCCACUUCCUUCCCAUGCCAAGCUGCAUUUUUGUUUUCAGCUUUCUCAGCUGGCUCUCUCUGUUCCAAGCACUGACAGGUUGUUGGAGGCAGAGCAAUCGACCACUUUUUUCAGUCCUAUAUUCCUAACGCUGUGAUAUCAAAUUCAACUUUUCACUUUACCAUGCUUGGACCCAUCUAUUAAGUGGAAAUCUAGGAGCAACCUGUAUGAGGUGAAUUAAUCCCAUUAUUUUAUUUCCACUGUAUAUUUUUUUUGCGGAUAGAUCUAAUUGCGGUAAUAAGUUUGUAUGUGUAUUGGACUGGUUCUUCCCAAAUUCCUAAAGAUAAAUAAAUCAAAAGAUUGCUUGGUCGUUUGAUAAAA
Quercus lobata is the source of this 2375-nucleotide RNA transcript. It is a transcript of the gene named Tetratricopeptide repeat (TPR)-like superfamily protein, with no coding region annotated. The transcript has 3 exons. The record is from RefSeq and is a predicted model, not a curated record. Lineage: Eukaryota; Viridiplantae; Streptophyta; Magnoliopsida; Fagales; Fagaceae.